GAUGAACGCUAGCGGCAGGCUUAAUACAUGCAAGUCGAGGGGCAGCAUGACUGUAGCAAUACAGUUGAUGGCGACCGGCAAACGGGUGCGGAACACGUACAGAACCUUCCUUCGAGCGGGGAAUAGCCCAGAGAAAUUUGGAUUAAUACCCCAUAGUAUAUUUGAAAGGCAUCUUUUAAAUAUUAAAGAUUUAUCACUUGAAGAUGGCUGUGCGGCUGAUUAGGUAGUUGGCGGGGUAACGGCCCACCAGGCCUGCGAUCAGUAACUGGUGUGAGAGCACGACCAGUCACACGGGCACUGAGACACGGGCCCGACUCCUACGGGAGGCAGCAGUAAGGAAUAUUGGUCAAUGGACGAAAGUCUGAACCAGCCAUGCCGCGUGGAGGAUGAAGGUCCUCUGGAUUGUAAACUUCUUUUAUAUGGGACGAAAAAAGACUUUUCUAAGUCGUCUGACGGUACCAUAUGAAUAAGCACCGGCUAACUCCGUGCCAGCCGCCGCAGUAA
RNAcentral lists this ribosomal RNA (504 nucleotides) under uncultured bacterium. RNAcentral describes it as "partial 16S ribosomal RNA". It matches the Rfam family "Bacterial small subunit ribosomal RNA", at positions 28 to 523 of the family's 1533-position model. The record is from RNAcentral.